This is a non-coding RNA of Tinamus guttatus (white-throated tinamou), 164 nucleotides long. Lineage: Eukaryota; Metazoa; Chordata; Aves; Tinamiformes; Tinamidae. The record is from RefSeq and is a predicted model, not a curated record.
CGCCGCUAACGGCCCCGUUGCGUCCCCAGACCACCAGAAGCUGGAGCGCGAGGCCCGGAUCUGCCGUCUCCUGAAGCACUCCAACAUCGUGCGGCUCCACGACAGCAUCUCCGAGGAGGGUUUCCACUACCUCGUGUGACCUGGUGACCGGCGGGGAGCUCUUC